This 2460-nucleotide long non-coding RNA is filed under the name Homo sapiens (human). RNAcentral's name for it is "non-protein coding lnc-USP14-2:2". Lineage: Eukaryota; Metazoa; Chordata; Mammalia; Primates; Hominidae. The record is from RNAcentral.
ACUGCCUACAGGGAAUUUCGACAAAUCUCUGCACUGAUCACCUAGGUGAUGUAACUCUUGUCUACCCUCUGCCUACAGGGGGCGUUGUGAAAUAUCUCUGCACUGAUCACCCAGGUGAUGCAACUCUUGACUAGGAUCUGCCUACAGGAGGUAUUGUGAAAUAUCUCUGCACUGAUCAACUAGGUGAUGUAACUCUUGUCUAAGCUCUGCCUGCAGGGGCGUUUUCACAUAUCCCUGAACUGAUGACAAAGGUGAUGUAACUCUUGCCUAGGCUUUGCCUACAGGGGACAUUGUGACAUAUCUCUGCACUGAUCACCCAGGUGAUGCAACUCUUCUCUGUGCUCUGCCUACAGGGUACAUUGUGACAUAUCUCUGCACAGAUCACCCAGUAAACUGUUUCACGUUAGACCUGUAACCCAAGGAGAUGUGUAUAGAGCUGAAACUGAAGAAAUUCCUAAAAUAUUCCAGAUACUAUAUGCAAAUGAAGGUGAAUGUAGAAAAGAUGUAGAGAUGGAACCAGUACAAGAAGCUGAAAAAACUAAUUUCCAAAAUCACAAAGGCCAUGAGUUUAUUCCUACACUCUACCACUUUCCUGCCAAUUGUGAUGCCUGUGCCAAACCUCUCUGGCAUGUUUUUAAGCCACCCCCUGCCCUAGAGUGUCAAAGACGCCAUGUUAAGUGCCACAGAGAUCACUUAGAUAAGAAAGAGGACUUAAUUUGUCCAUGUAAAGUAAGUUAUGAUGUAACAUCAGCAAGAGAUAUGCUGCUGUUAGCAUGUUCUCAGGAUGAACAAAAAAAAUGGGUAACUCAUUUAGUAAAGAAAAUCCCUAAGAAUCCACCAUCUGGUUUUGUUCGUGCUUCCCCUUGAACGCUUUCUACAAGAUCCACUGCAAAUCAGUCUUUCCGGAAAGUGGUCAAAAAUACAUCUGGAAAAACUAGUUAACCAUGUGACCGAGUGCCUUGUGGAAUCGUGUGGGAUGCUACCUGAUAAACCAGGCUUCUUUAACCAUGCAGAGCAGACAGGCUGUUUCUUUGACACAAAUAUCACAGGCUUCAGGGUUAAGAUUGCUGUUUUUCUGUCCUUGCUUUGGCACAACACACUGAGGGUUUUUUUUAUCGCGGGUUUGCCUACAGGUAGAUUAGAUUAAUUAUUACUAUGUAAUGCAAGUACAGUUGGGGGAAAGCUUAGGUAGAUAUAUUUUUUUUAAAAGGUGCUGCCUUUUUGGAUUUAUAAGAAAAUGGCUGUCAGUCGUGAUAGAACAGAGUUUUCCUCAUAUGAGUAAGAGGAAGGGACUUUCACUUUCAAGUGGAACGGCCAUCACUAUCAAGAUCAGCUCAUGGAAGGAGUAAAGAAAAUAUCUCAAAAUGAGACAAACUGAAGUUUUGUUUUUUUUUUAAUGACUUAAGUUUUUGUGCUCUUGCAAGACUAUACAAAACUAUUUUAAGAAAGCAGUGAUAUCACUUGAACUUCAGUGCCCUCACUGUAGAAUUUAAAAGCCUUACUGUUGAUUGCCCAUGGUGGACUUGAUGGAGAAAUUAAAUAUCUUUCAUUAUGCUUUACAAAAUACUGUAUAUGUUUCAGCAAGUUUGGGGAAUGGGAGAGGACGAAAAAAAGUUACAUUUAAUCUAUGCAUUUUUGCCAAGCCAUAUUGAGUUAUUUUACUACUAGAGACAUUAGGAAACUAACUGUACAAAAGAACCAAGUUUAAAAGCAUUUUGUGGGGUACAUCAUUUCUAUAAUUGUAUAAUGUAUUUCUUUGUGGUUUUAAAUGAUAAAGACAUUAAGUUAACAAACAUAUAAGAAAUGUAUGCACUGUUUGAAAUGUAAAUUAUUCUUAGAACACUUUCAAUGGGGGUUGCAUUGUCCUUUUAGUGCCUUAAUUUGAGAUAAUUAUUUUACUGCCAUGAGUAAGUAUAGAAAUUUCAAAAAAUGUAUUUUCAAAAAAUUAUGUGUGUCCGUGAGUUUUUCAUUGAUAAUUGGUUUAAUUUAAAAUAUUUAGAGGUUUGUUGGACUUUCAUAAAUUGAGUACAAUCUUUGCAUCAAACUACCUGCUACAAUAAUGACUUUAUAAAACUGCAAAAAAUGUAGAAGGUUGCACCAAUAUAAAAAGGAAAUAUGGCAAUACAUCCAUGAUGUUUUCCAGUUAACAUAGGAAUUACCAGAUAAAUACUGUUAAACUCUUGUCCGGUAACAAGAGUUGAUUCAUAUGGACAGUAUGAUUUAUUGUUUCUUUUUUUAACCAAAUACCUCCUCAGUAAUUUAUAAUGGCUUUGCAGUAAUGUCUAUCAGAUAAGAAGCACUGGAAAACCGAUCGUCUCUAGGAUGAUAUGCAUGUUUCAAGUGGUAUUGAAAGCCGCACUGAUGAAUAUGUAAUAAUAAACAUAUCUGUUAUUAAUAUAGUAAUGACUGUGCUCAUUUAAUGAGAAAUAAAAGUAAUUUAUGGAUGGAUAUCUUUAAUUU